GGGCUCGCAGGCGGUUUCUUAAGUCUGAUGUGAAAGCCCCCGGCUCAACCGGGGAGGGUCAUUGGAAACUGGGGAACUUGAGUGCAGAAGAGGAGAGUGGAAUUCCACGUGUAGCGGUGAAAUGCGUAGAGAUGUGGAGGAACACCAGUGGCGAAGGCGACUCUCUGGUCUGUAACUGACGCUGAGGAGCGAAAGCGUGGGGAGCGAACAGGAUUAGAUACCCUGGUAGUCCACGCCGUAAACGAUGAGUGCUAAGUGUUAGGGGGUUUCCGCCCCUUAGUGCUGCAGCUAACGCAUUAAGCACUCCGCCUGGGGAGUACGGUCGCAAGACUGAAACUCAAAGGAAUUGACGGGGGCCCGCACAAGCGGUGGAGCAUGUGGUUUAAUUCGAAGCAACGCGAAGAACCUUACCAGGUCUUGACAUCCUCUGACGAUCCUAGAGAUAGGACGUCCCCUUCGGGGGCAGAGUGACAGGUGGUGCAUGGUUGUCGUCAGCUCGUGUCGUGAGAUGUUGGGUUAAGUCCCGCAACGAGCGCAACCCUUGAUCUUAGUUGCCAGCAUUCAGUUGGGCACUCUAAGGUGACUGCCGGUGACAAACCGGAGGAAGGUGGGGAUGACGUCAAAUCAUCAUGCCCCUUAUGACCUGGGCUACACACGUGCUAC
This 663-nucleotide ribosomal RNA is filed under the name Bacillus subtilis. Its description in RNAcentral is "bacterial SSU rRNA". It matches the Rfam family "Bacterial small subunit ribosomal RNA", at positions 565 to 1228 of the family's 1533-position model. The record is from RNAcentral. Lineage: Bacteria; Bacillati; Bacillota; Bacilli; Caryophanales; Bacillaceae.